Molecule: ribosomal RNA, 243 nt
Filed under: uncultured Actinomycetales bacterium
Lineage: Bacteria; Bacillati; Actinomycetota; Actinomycetes; Actinomycetales
Description: partial 16S ribosomal RNA
Rfam family: Bacterial small subunit ribosomal RNA
Source: RNAcentral
UACUCGAGUGGCGAACGGGUGAGUAACACGUGGGUGAUCUGCCCUGCACUUCGGGAUAAGCCUGGGAAACUGGGUCUAAUACCGGAUAGUAGCCAUUUUUAGUGUGAUGGUUGGAAAGUUUUUUCGGUGUAGGAUGAGCUCGCGGCCUAUCAGCUUGUUGGUGGGGUAAUGGCCCACCAAGGCGGCGACGGGUAGCCGGCCUGAGAGGGUGGACGGCCACAUUGGGACUGAGAUACGGCCCAG